AUUGAACGCUGGCGGCAUGCUUUACACAUGCAAGUCGAACGGUAACAGGCCUUCGGGUGCUGACGAGUGGCGAACGGGUGAGUAAUGCAUCGGAACGUGCCCAGAGGUGGGGGAUAACGCAGCGAAAGCUGUGCUAAUACCGCAUGUGAUCUGAGGAUGAAAGCGGGGGACCAGGCAGCAAUGUUUGGCCUCGCGCCUUUGGAGCGGCCGAUGUCAGAUUAGGUAGUUGGUGGGGUAAAGGCCUACCAAGCCGACGAUCUGUAGCUGGUCUGAGAGGACGACCAGCCACACUGGGACUGAGACACGGCCCAGACUCCUACGGGAGGCAGCAGUGGGGAAUUUUGGACAAUGGGCGCAAGCCUGAUCCAGCAAUGCCGCGUGCGGGAAGAAGGCCUUCGGGUUGUAAACCGCUUUUGUACGGAAUGAAAAGGCUCUGGCUAAUACCUGGGGCUGAUGACGGUACCGUAAGAAUAAGCACCGGCUAACUACGUG
RNAcentral lists this ribosomal RNA (492 nucleotides) under uncultured bacterium. RNAcentral's name for it is "partial 16S ribosomal RNA". It matches the Rfam family "Bacterial small subunit ribosomal RNA", at positions 30 to 507 of the family's 1533-position model. The record is from RNAcentral.